Aphis gossypii (cotton aphid) is the source of this 389-nucleotide long non-coding RNA. RefSeq lists it as uncharacterized. The record is from RefSeq and is a predicted model, not a curated record. NCBI's taxonomy places the organism in Eukaryota, Metazoa, Arthropoda, Insecta, Hemiptera, Aphididae. The transcript has 3 exons.
UAUGCACCGAUCACUUCAGUGGAUGUAUAGAGAGUUCGUUUUCUACGUUUGAAAAUAUUCUGUCGGACAAUAGUCAGUUUUACUACUGCAAAUCUAGAAAAAUACAAGAUUACUGUUGAAAAAAAAAGUCAUACUUAAAUAUAUUGAUACUUUCCAAGAAGAUACUUUGAGUUAUGCUGGUUUUUGUUGUGGACACCGUUCGUAUCAUAAAGACAAACACACGAGAACCACCCUUUUUCCCCACUGUGAAUUAUUAUUAAGCUCCUGGACGUUUUGGCCACGAUGAAGCUAUGAAUGUCAUUAUAGGUAUAAUAUGGUCUUAUAAGCAUAAUUCAAAAUUCUCAAAUUUAAAAUUUAAAUAAAUACGUUUUAAAAGAAUAAAUGUGAGU